This 117-nucleotide ribosomal RNA is filed under the name uncultured bacterium. RNAcentral describes it as "partial 16S ribosomal RNA". It matches the Rfam family "Bacterial small subunit ribosomal RNA", at positions 355 to 467 of the family's 1533-position model. The record is from RNAcentral.
UGGGGAAUAUUGGACAAUGGGCGCAAGCCUGAUCCAGCCAUGCCGCGUGAGUGAUGAAGGUCUUUAGGGUUGUAAAGCUCUUUACCCGGGAUGAUAAUGACAGUACCUGAGAUAGUC